UCUUUCUCUCUCUAAGUUCAGUUUCAUUUUCUUCUUCUUGCUCUGACUUCUCUCUACUUUUCCACCACUUCCCACCGUUGAAAUUUCAAAUAGGUAGUGUGCUUUUGUUCACGGAGUUGAGAGAUUUCCCUUCAUCCGAUUAGAUUUUUGUUUUGGACGGAUCUUGUUGAACUUGCAUCUGUGCAAGAGUACUGUUUUGGGUUUCCUCUAAAGAGUGUUGUGCUUGUAACCACUAAGAGAGGAUUGAUCCAUGUGGUGAGGAGUAGCAGGAGGUCCUGGUCUUGGAGGCUUCCAGUAUGCUCCAGGGCGCGGAACGAAUUAACCUCGUGAGUGUGGUAGGGUGGAACCCAUUGGCAACGGCUUUGCAAAGCAGUAGAGGCCACCACGAGUGCAUAACCCGCCAUAGCUCGAUGGUGAGGAGGUUCCUUUGGAGACAACUCUGGAAGUUGAAGACAAUGUUGCUGCCUAGUCUCCUAGGAUGCUAUUAGUUGAUCUUAUACUCUAGAAUACUAUUUCCCAUUUCAGCUUAUAUUUUAUAUCUUUUUGAAGUUUAAGCAUAUAUUCUGAAGUUAUUUUGAGGAUAACUGUAAUCCUAUUUACU
Molecule: long non-coding RNA, 601 nt
Organism: Vigna angularis (adzuki bean)
Lineage: Eukaryota; Viridiplantae; Streptophyta; Magnoliopsida; Fabales; Fabaceae
Exons: 4
Source: RefSeq, a predicted model, not a curated record